AGAGUGUGAUCCUGUCCAGUGCCGCGGAGAAGCCUCUGGAGCUCAGAGGGCCCUAUGACAUCACCAACCUGUAUCCUUCCUAUUGGUUCAGACACAAACUGUAGUCUUCAACAAAAACUACAGUACUACAGUACUCGUUUCCUCCACCUGUGGAUCCGUUGUUCUACACGCAGAAACCAGGAAGACGGCGAGCGGGAUCAUCUACGCGGUGAAGAGCUGCAGCCAUUGGCCGCCUGCAGACUGUAAGCCCCGCCUCCAUCCCUUGAGACAGAACAGCAGCUGGUUAAUGAGUGAUAAAUGUUCCAGCUGUGCUUCUGUGUUUCUACCUGAACAGGUGAAGCUCCCGCAGCCAAGAG
Long non-coding RNA from Sander lucioperca (pikeperch), 356 nucleotides. RefSeq lists it as uncharacterized. The transcript has 3 exons. The record is from RefSeq and is a predicted model, not a curated record. NCBI's taxonomy places the organism in Eukaryota, Metazoa, Chordata, Actinopteri, Perciformes, Percidae.